This 482-nucleotide long non-coding RNA is filed under the name Trifolium pratense (red clover). Its description in RNAcentral is "long non-coding RNA (TPRA_LNC009657)". The record is from RNAcentral. Lineage: Eukaryota; Viridiplantae; Streptophyta; Magnoliopsida; Fabales; Fabaceae.
CUUGACCUUUAUAAACUCAAUUAAUGUUUUUAUGUAAAUAGUAUUCUUAUUUGAUAAAACAAAAAAUAGACAUUUAAAGAGCUUUGGAAUAAAUUUUGUCAANNNNNNNNNNNNNNNNNNNACUUCAAAAGAAGAACACAAAUUGUUCGUCGAUCAAUAUAAAGUGCAUAUAUAAACUUUACUCAAUCAACUAUGUUUAAACUAUAGAUGAUACAUGUAUGGAAAUUAAUCUAUUUUGACAACGUCUUAGUCAAGUUACACCAGUACUUUUCAUGUAUAUUAUAUAUUACAAUUACAAUUACAAUUACAAUUACAAUUAUAAUUAACAAUGACGUCACAUGAGUAAAAGCAUUCAAAAAAUUUAUUUUCAACUUUUUUUUUGUUUCUAUCAUUCUCUUAAGAUCCAAGCGGUUCACAUACACCUUGUGAAAUAGAAUUCUUUAUAUCCUAUUAUAGAUCUCCUCAUUCACCUAAAAUAAAUA